Myotis daubentonii (Daubenton's bat) is the source of this 222-nucleotide long non-coding RNA. RefSeq lists it as uncharacterized. The transcript has 2 exons. NCBI's taxonomy places the organism in Eukaryota, Metazoa, Chordata, Mammalia, Chiroptera, Vespertilionidae. The record is from RefSeq and is a predicted model, not a curated record.
CCGGUUUGGCUCAGUGGAUAGAGCGUCGGCCUGAGGACUGAGGGGUCCCGGGUUUGAUUCCGGCCAAGGGCAUAUGCCUGGGUUGCGGGCUCGAUCCCCAGUAGGGGUGGGGAGUGUGCAGGAGGCAGCUGAUCGAUGUCUCUCUCUCAUCGAUGUUUCCAACUCUCUUUCCCUGUCCCUUCCUCUCUGUAAAAAAUCAAUAAAAUAUAUUAAAAAAAAGAA